AUGGUCCUUAGAGAUCACAAUGGGAGUAUUAUCUUCAGUUCAUGCCGCCACCUAUUCUCAUGUAAUGACGUGCUGGAAACUGAGAUUCUAGCUAUCAAGGAAGGGCUAAUGUUGGCCUCUCAAUGGAGUAGUCUGCCAAUAGAUGUGGAGUCGGAUUGUGUGGAAGCAGUAAAGAUGGUGCAGUGCGGUGGAACAAACAAAUCAAAGUAUGCCUUUUUAGUGAAGGAAAUCAAGGAUAAUCUAGAGGAACGUAGUGGAAAGUAUGAAGGAUCUCCACUCCGAGUAGGUCAGGGGUCCCCCUCCUCCUCCUCGUCUAUAUUAGGAAGAUCUCCACGCCGGAACCCUACCGCACUCUUCCAUCGAUCGAAACCUAGACUAGACGUGGAGCAGAGCAGAGCAGGGAUGGAAGCCUACAAGUUCGGCUUCGGCCUCGGCAUGCCGCCGGCGUUCAAGUUCGAUCCCACCGACGGCGACAUCGUCGCCUACUACCUCCUCCCGCGCGCGCUCGGCCUCCCCAACCCGCACGCGCACGCCAUCAUCGAAGAAGACCCCGGGAGCGCUCCGCCGUGGGAGCUCCUCCGGAGGCACGGCGGCGACGGCGGGAUCGAGCACGCCUUCUUCUUCGGCCCCCCCACGGACGGCGGCCGCAGGAGGCGCACCGUCAAGGGCGGCGGCGUGUGGCAGGGGCAGAAGUUGAACGAGGGCACCGUCACCAUGCUCGGCCCCGGCGGCGCCGAGUUGGACAUCGCUUACAAGCGGUACGACCUCACCUUCAAGCUCAAGGCCGGCCGCGGUAGCGUCAGCACGGGGUAUGUCAUGCACGAGUACGAGAUCACAUCGCCGCCGCUCCCCGGCAAGGUGCUCACCCGCGUCAACAUCAGCAGUAACGCCAAGAAGGAAAAGGCACCGGGCGCGGCCACCGCCGACGCCGACCAGCAGGUUAUGGUCCCGGACCCUGAGCUGCCGGGCACGAGCUACUACGACCACGAUGCCGCCGCGAUGGCGAGCAUCGGCGAGGGACUCGGUGACUCGCAAGCUGGUGCUCUGUAUGGCGGCAACGGCGGGGACACGGCAGAUGCCGACUCCUGCUAUACGCCUCUCAACUGUGUCCUCCCGGAUGGCGCCUACAUCGACUACGGCCUCUCGUACACCAACCAGCUUGCCGCGGCGACGACGAGUCACAGCCAGGGAUUCAUCGGCGCUCAAGCUGAUUCCUUCUACGGCUGCGGCAUGGCGGGGACGAACGGCGCCUACUACGACCCCUCACCGUUCGUCCCGGUUGCUAGCCAAGAGGUUGCCCCAUGGCCUAAUAAUCAGCUGGGCCAGAUCCACAGCCACAACCAAUACUACGCCGGAGAUUCCUCCCUGAUGUGCUCCGGCGGCGAGCAACAAGCCGGUGGCGCUCUGUGUGGCUACAACGAUGACGGGGGUGCCAUGAAAACCGUGAGCGCCCACUCGACUGUUUUGCCCUGCAAUGGCGGGGAGGAGAACCGGGACGAGAUCUACGACUACGAAGCCUCUCGGCGACAACGACGGCGACUUCAAUGA
Molecule: ribosomal RNA, 1548 nt
Filed under: Triticum aestivum (bread wheat)
Lineage: Eukaryota; Viridiplantae; Streptophyta; Magnoliopsida; Poales; Poaceae
Description: partial small subunit ribosomal RNA
Source: RNAcentral